GACGAACGCUGGCGGCGUGCCUAAUACAUGCAAGUCGAACGGUUUAGUUCCAAGAGGCAAGACUCUUGGAACUAAGCAGUGGCGGACGGGUGAGUAACACGUAGGCAACCUACCUGUCAAACCGGGAUAACCUCGGGAAACCGAAGCUAAACCCGGAUAAGCUCCUUUUUCGCAUGAAGGGGGAGUGAAAAGGUGCGACCUGAUGACAGAUGGGCCUGCGGCGCAUUAGCUAGUAGGUAGGGUAACGGCCUACCUAGGCGAUGAUGCGUAGCCGACCUGAGAGGGCGUACGGCCACACUGGGACUGAGAUACGGCCCGGACUCCUACGGGAGGCAGCAGUAGGGAAUCUUCGGCAAUGGGCGAAAGCCUGACCGAGCAACGCCGCGUGAGUGAGGAAGGCCUUCGGGUUGUAAAACUCUGUUGUUUGGGAAGAAGGGAAAGGGUAGGACCCUUAGGUGACGGUACCAAACGAGAAAGCCCCGGCUAACUACGUG
This 494-nucleotide ribosomal RNA is filed under the name uncultured bacterium. RNAcentral's name for it is "partial 16S ribosomal RNA". It matches the Rfam family "Bacterial small subunit ribosomal RNA", at positions 28 to 507 of the family's 1533-position model. The record is from RNAcentral.